AGGGUUUAUUGCCACGGCCACAGCGCCCUCGGCCCCCCGGCCCCACCGGUCACUCUUCGGCCAGUUGCCAGGGGUCAGCUGGUCACACGGUGUCCCCAGGGCUCAGUUGGCCAGCAAGGGGGUCCUGGUGUCUCCAGGGGUCAGUCGGUCACCACAGUGUCCACGGGGGUCAGUUGGUCACCACAGUGUCCACAGGGAGUCAGUUGGUCACCACAGUGUCCACAGGGGUCACUUGGUCACUGUGGUGUCCCCAGGGGUCAGUUGGUCACCACAGUGUCCACAGGGGUCACUUGGUCACUGUGGUGUCCCCAGGGGUCAGUUGGUCACCCGCAUGUCUGUGGGGUCCAUUGGCCACCGCGGUGUCCCCGGGGGUCAGUCGGUCACCCCAGUGUCCCCGGGGGUCAGUCGGGUCACUGUGGUGUCCCCAGGGGUCAUCCGGUCACUGUGGUGUCCCCAGGGGUCAGUUGGUCACCGCAGUGUCCCCGGGGGUCAGUCGGUCACUGUGGUGUCCCCCAGGGGUCAGUCAGCCACGGCACUGUGCUGUUGCCAGUGCCCCCCCAUUGCCGGUGUCCCUGUUGGUCACUCUGCCACGGUGGUGUCCCCCAGGGCUGGCCACUGCCAAGGUGGUGUCCCCGGGGUUGGUCACUCAGCCACAGUGGUGUCCUGGUGAUGUCCCCAGGGCUGGUCACUUCAUUCACGGUGGUGUCCCCAGCACUGGUCACUCAUUCAUGGUGGUGUCCUGGUGUCCUGAGGGUGUCCCUGGGGUCAGUCAUUCAGCCACAGUGGUGUCCUGGUGGUGUCCCCAGGGUUGGUCACUCACUCAUGGUGGUGUCCUGGUGGUAUCCCCAGGGUUGGUCACUCACUCACCGGUGGUGUCCCCAGGGUUGGUCACUCAGCCACAGUGGUGACCUGGUGGUGUCCCCAGGGUUGGUCACUCAUUCAUGGUGGUGUCCUGGUGGUGUCCCCAGGGUUGGUCACUCAUUCACGGUGGUGUCCCGGUGUCCUGGGGGUGUCCCCUGGGGUCAGUCAUUUACUCACAGUGGUGUCCUGGUGGUGUCCCCAGGGUUGGUCACUCAGCCACAGUGGUGUCCUGGUGGUGUCCCCAGGGUUGGUCACUCAGCCACAGUGGUGUCCUGGUGGUGUCCCCAGGGUUGGUCACUCACUCAUGGUGGUGUCCUGGUGGUAUCCCCAGGGUUGGUCACUCAUUCAUGCUGGUGUCCCGGUGUCCUGGGGGUGUCCCUGGGGUCAGUCAUUUAGCCACAGGUGGUGUCCUGGUGGUGUCCCCAGGGUUGGUCAUUUACCCACAGUGGUGUCCUGGUGGUGUCCCCGUGGUGUCCCCACGAUGUCCCUCAGCGCUGGUCACUCAGCCACGGCCGUGUCCCUCCUCAGCCUGCCCCUGACCACGGUGCCCAGCCCAGCGUG
Molecule: long non-coding RNA, 1422 nt
Organism: Pseudopipra pipra
Lineage: Eukaryota; Metazoa; Chordata; Aves; Passeriformes; Pipridae
Exons: 5
Source: RefSeq, a predicted model, not a curated record